RNAcentral lists this ribosomal RNA (254 nucleotides) under uncultured bacterium. RNAcentral's name for it is "partial 16S ribosomal RNA". It matches the Rfam family "Bacterial small subunit ribosomal RNA", at positions 524 to 776 of the family's 1533-position model. The record is from RNAcentral.
CACGUAGGGCGCAAGCGUUGUCCGGAAUUAUUGGGCGUAAAGAGCUCGUAGGCGGUCUGUUACGUCUGCUGUGAAAACCCAGGGCUUAACCCUGGGCUUGCAGUGGAUACGGGCAGACUAGAGGCAGGUAGGGGAGAAUGGAAUUCCCGGUGUAGCGGUGAAAUGCGCAGAUAUCGGGAGGAACACCGGUGGCGAAGGCGGUUCUCUGGGCCUGACCUGGACGCUGAGGAGCGAAAGCAUGGGUAGCGAACAGG